AGAGAGACUGGAACACAGCAAAUUUUCUUCCACUGAGUUGGAAAAAUGUAGUCAUUAAAAGAAAAGACAUCCCUUGUUAUUCCAUCAGUCGAAAAUGGCUAUUUAUUUAUUUAUUUAUGGAGAAGAGUGUGGAGAAUGAUGACAGUAGAUGGUACACCUGGAGCAGUACAUCUCCAAAGCAAAGGGUGCAUGCACGUGCAAGAAGACAGAGCAAUUAUAUGGAUCAAAAAGUCAUCCUGUUUAUACAACGUGUCUCAAAAACUCUCUGCUGGCCACAGGCAGUGCUCGUUCUAGCAGUGUGCUGCCCAUCAGCUAACAGGGAGGCAAGACUUGGUUCAGAGACUGCUGUUGCUGAAAAAACAUUGCUACAAAUUUUGUGAUGGAGCUGGAUGGAGCAAGGCAUUGCACAGUGAGGCAUCACAGAUGGAAUGGCAGGUACAG
Molecule: long non-coding RNA, 441 nt
Filed under: Dromaius novaehollandiae (emu)
Lineage: Eukaryota; Metazoa; Chordata; Aves; Casuariiformes; Dromaiidae
Description: lncRNA (ENSDNVG00000005287.1)
Source: RNAcentral